GGGCCCGCACAAGCGGUGGAGCAUGUGGUUUAAUUCGAUGCAACGCGAAGAACCUUACCAGGGCUUAAAUGUAGUAUGACCGGCUUGGAAACAGGCCUUCUCUUCGGAGCAGAUUACAAGGUGCUGCAUGGUUGUCGUCAGCUCGUGCCGUGAGGUGUUAGGUUAAGUCCUGCAACGAGCGCAACCCCUAUUCUUAGUUGCCAGCGGUUCGGCCGGGGACUCUAAGAAGACUGCCAGCGCAAGCUGAGAGGAAGGUGGGGAUGACGUCAAAUCAUCACGGCCCUUACGUCCUGGGCUACACACGUGCUACAAUGGUAGAGACAGAGGGCUGCAAACCAGCGAUGGGGAG
Molecule: ribosomal RNA, 349 nt
Filed under: uncultured bacterium
Lineage: Bacteria
Description: bacterial SSU rRNA
Rfam family: Bacterial small subunit ribosomal RNA
Source: RNAcentral